RNAcentral lists this small RNA (671 nucleotides) under Pan troglodytes (chimpanzee). RNAcentral's name for it is "retained intron". The record is from RNAcentral. Lineage: Eukaryota; Metazoa; Chordata; Mammalia; Primates; Hominidae.
CGGCCGCCGAGGCCGGCUAAACGCAGAAUGGGGAAGAAUCCUGUGCGUCCUCCACGAGCUCUUCCACCUGUGCCAAGUCAAGAUGAUAUUCCACUUAGUCGUCCUAAGAAAAAGAAGCCCAGAACAAAAAACACACCAGGUAAGACGUUAUUCUUUGUUGUGUGGGAUCACAAGUUUUCCCAGGACCUCAGGCGUAGUAAACAUCACAGAUAAGGGAGAAUUAAGGCCCCAGCAGCCCCGAAUCUCCACUUCAUUGAGGAUAGAAUUAAGGCCAGUUUGAAGCAGUGGAAUUCCUGGUGGUGGUGAGGUACAGGGCAGUGGGCAGCCUGAGGAGUAUCUGGACGCAUUCAUGGAAUAGAAGGUGGUGCCAUCUAAGCUCCUAUUUCCAUGAUAUUCCUGGACUCUUUAAGGUCUUUUAUCCCCAGACAACAUACAUGGUUUUAAGCUAUGAUUGAUUCCAGACCCUUGAACAUGAAUUUAGAAACACAGAGUUCUUAAAUCUCACUUCAGUCAGAAUAUCUCUACAUUACAGCAUGAGUCUGAAGGCAUGGCCACAUCAUCAUUUAAAUAGUAAAGCUUCAGUCAUGAGCAGAACUCGUUUUUGUCUUAGUCAUCCACUAAUAAUCCUGGAAGUUGCAUCCGUAACUCUAAACUCAGCACAUCUAGAAUCC